GAUUUCUGACUUGGCGCACCUAGCCCGCCACGGUUACGUGUGUGAGUGCCGGGAUGCGCCUGUCACUUUUCUGGUAAACUAUUGUGCUCUUCAUUGAGUGUGAUAGGUAGCCAGAUAUUUUACUUUGAAAAAAUUAGAGUGUUUAAAGCAGGCGUUUGCUAUGAAUACAUUAGCAUGGAAUAAUAAGUUAGGACUUCGGUUCUAUUUUGUUGGUUUCUAGAACGGAAGUAAUGAUUGAUAGGGAUAGUUGGGGGUGCUAGUAUUCAGUGGCCAGAGGUGAAAUUCUUGGAUUCACUGAAGACUAACUUAUGCGAAAACAUU
This 321-nucleotide ribosomal RNA is filed under the name Allapsidae sp. Its description in RNAcentral is "SSU rRNA". It matches the Rfam family "Eukaryotic small subunit ribosomal RNA", at positions 634 to 955 of the family's 1831-position model. The record is from RNAcentral. Lineage: Eukaryota; Cercozoa; Glissomonadida; Viridiraptoridae.